This 157-nucleotide ribosomal RNA is filed under the name Sticta lacera. Its description in RNAcentral is "5.8S ribosomal RNA". It matches the Rfam family "5.8S ribosomal RNA". From Rfam's summary of the family: 5.8S ribosomal RNA (5.8S rRNA) is a component of the large subunit of the eukaryotic ribosome. It is transcribed by RNA polymerase I as part of the 45S precursor that also contains 18S and 28S rRNA. Lineage: Eukaryota; Fungi; Ascomycota; Lecanoromycetes; Peltigerales; Lobariaceae. The record is from RNAcentral.
AACUUUCAACAACGGAUCUCUUGGUUCUGGCAUCGAUGAAGAACGCAGCGAAAUGCGAUAAGUAAUGUGAAUUGCAGAAUUCAGUGAAUCAUUGAAUCUUUGAACGCACAUUGCGCCCCUUGGUAUUCCGAGGGGCAUACCUGUUCGAGCGUCAUUG